AGACAUUGUUAUAAGUUCAAAAGUAAAUUACAAAAAAUAGAAACCAUUUCAGAGAAUUAAAUUUCAAAGAGGAAUAACCAAUGCCUAACAAACAUGAAAUUCCAUGGCACAAACAAACCCCAAAACCAUGACCUUCUAGUGCACAUGUUUUUCAAAUAUGAAAGAUUAUAGAAACUGGAAAAUUCUUUUCCUUAGCCAUUAUCAUAGGUUGACAUCACAACUAAAUUAAUUUCAUUUCGUCAAAUAUUGA
This 250-nucleotide unclassified non-coding RNA is filed under the name Hevea brasiliensis (rubber tree). Lineage: Eukaryota; Viridiplantae; Streptophyta; Magnoliopsida; Malpighiales; Euphorbiaceae. The record is from RNAcentral.